RNAcentral lists this ribosomal RNA (210 nucleotides) under uncultured bacterium. RNAcentral describes it as "partial 16S ribosomal RNA". It matches the Rfam family "Bacterial small subunit ribosomal RNA", at positions 524 to 727 of the family's 1533-position model. The record is from RNAcentral.
GACGAACCGUGCGAACGUUGUUCGGAAUCACUGGGCUUAAAGGGCGCGUAGGCGGUUCAUCAAGUCCCGGGGUGAAAUACUUUCGGUCGUCAACCGGAAAACGUAGCCUUGGAUACUGGUGAACUGGAGGGAGGUAGGGCGAGAUGGAACUUCCGGUGGAGCGGUGAAAUGCGUUGAUAUCGGAAGGAACGCCGGUGGCGAAAGCGAUCU